Molecule: ribosomal RNA, 474 nt
Filed under: uncultured Aspergillus
Lineage: Eukaryota; Fungi; Ascomycota; Eurotiomycetes; Eurotiales; Aspergillaceae
Description: SSU rRNA
Rfam family: Eukaryotic small subunit ribosomal RNA
Source: RNAcentral
AUCGACUAAACAGCGUCAUAGCGUAUAUUAAGUUGUUGCAGUUAAAAAGCUCGUAGUUGAACCUUGGGUCUGGCUGGCCGGUCCGCCUCACCGCGAGUACUGGUCCGGCUGGACCUUUCCUUCUGGGGAACCUCAUGGCCUUCACUGGCUGUGGGGGGAACCAGGACUUUUACUGUGAAAAAAUUAGAGUGUUCAAAGCAGGCCUUUGCUCGAAUACAUUAGCAUGGAAUAAUAGAAUAGGACGUGCGGUUCUAUUUUGUUGGUUUCUAGGACCGCCGUAAUGAUUAAUAGGGAUAGUCGGGGGCGUCAGUAUUCAGCUGUCAGAGGUGAAAUUCUUGGAUUUGCUGAAGACUAACUACUGCGAAAGCAUUCGCCAAGGAUGUUUUCAUUAAUCAGGGAACGAAAGUUAGGGGAUCGAAGACGAUCAGAUACCGUCGUAGUCUUAACCAUAAACUAUGCCGACUAGGGAUCGGA